AAAUUGAAGAGUUUGAUCAUGGCUCAGAUUGAACGCUGGCGGCAGGCCUAACACAUGCAAGUCGAGCGGAAACGACAACAUUGAAUCUUCGGAGGAUUUGUUGGGCGUCGAGCGGCGGACGGGUGAGUAAUGCCUAGGAAAUUGCCUUGAUGUGGGGGAUAACCAUUGGAAACGAUGGCUAAUACCGCAUAAUGCCUACGGGCCAAAGAGGGGGAUCUUCGGACCUCUCGCGUCAAGAUAUGCCUAGGUGGGAUUAGCUAGUUGGUGAGGUAAUGGCUCACCAAGGCGACGAUCCCUAGCUGGUCUGAGAGGAUGAUCAGCCACACUGGAACUGAGACACGGUCCAGACUCCUACGGGAGGCAGCAGUGGGGAAUAUUGCACAAUGGGCGAAAGCCUGAUGCAGCCAUGCCGCGUGUAUGAAGAAGGCCUUCGGGUUGUAAAGUACUUUCAGUUGUGAGGAAGGGUGUGUAGUUAAUAGCUGCGCAUCUUGACGUUAGCAACAGAAGAAGC
This 511-nucleotide ribosomal RNA is filed under the name Vibrio splendidus. Its description in RNAcentral is "bacterial SSU rRNA". It matches the Rfam family "Bacterial small subunit ribosomal RNA", at positions 1 to 491 of the family's 1533-position model. Lineage: Bacteria; Pseudomonadati; Pseudomonadota; Gammaproteobacteria; Vibrionales; Vibrionaceae. The record is from RNAcentral.